UGGGAUAUAACUCUGUGGUAGAGCACUUGCCUAGCAUGCAGGAAACUCUAGGUUUAAUCCCCAGGAUCACAA
Molecule: transfer RNA, 72 nt
Filed under: Heterocephalus glaber (naked mole-rat)
Lineage: Eukaryota; Metazoa; Chordata; Mammalia; Rodentia; Bathyergidae
Rfam family: tRNA
About the family: Transfer RNA (tRNA) molecules are approximately 80 nucleotides in length. Their secondary structure includes four short double-helical elements and three loops (D, anti-codon, and T loops). Further hydrogen bonds mediate the characteristic L-shaped molecular structure. tRNAs have two regions of fundamental functional importance: the anti-codon, which is responsible for specific mRNA codon recognition, and the 3' end, to which the tRNAs corresponding amino acid is attached (by aminoacyl-tRNA synthetases). tRNAs cope with the degeneracy of the genetic code in two manners: having more than one tRNA (with a specific anti-codon) for a particular amino acid; and 'wobble' base-pairing, i.e. permitting non-standard base-pairing at the 3rd anti-codon position.
Source: Rfam by way of RNAcentral